RNAcentral lists this transfer RNA (73 nucleotides) under Pteropus alecto (black flying fox). It matches the Rfam family "tRNA". From Rfam's summary of the family: Transfer RNA (tRNA) molecules are approximately 80 nucleotides in length. Their secondary structure includes four short double-helical elements and three loops (D, anti-codon, and T loops). The record is from Rfam by way of RNAcentral. RNAcentral also lists the same sequence under 1 other name. Lineage: Eukaryota; Metazoa; Chordata; Mammalia; Chiroptera; Pteropodidae.
GGUUCCAUAGUGUAGCGGUAAGCACAUCUGUUUUAUACGCAGAAGAUCCUGAGUUCACACCCCAGUGGAGCCA